Molecule: transfer RNA, 52 nt
Filed under: Pseudoniphargus sp. 1-Murcia
Lineage: Eukaryota; Metazoa; Arthropoda; Malacostraca; Amphipoda; Allocrangonyctidae
Also listed under: 1 other name
Description: tRNA-Ser
Source: RNAcentral
AAGAUGUAAUAUAAGACUUCUAAUCUUUAAAUAGUGUUAACACUACAUCUUU